RNAcentral lists this ribosomal RNA (432 nucleotides) under uncultured bacterium. Its description in RNAcentral is "bacterial SSU rRNA". It matches the Rfam family "Bacterial small subunit ribosomal RNA", at positions 29 to 507 of the family's 1533-position model. The record is from RNAcentral.
AACGAACGCUGGCGGCAGGCCUAACACAUGCAAGUCGAGCGAGACCUUCGGGUCUAGCGGCGGACGGGUUAGUAACGCGUGGGAACGUGCCCUUCUCUGCGGAAUAGCCACUGGAAACGGUGAGUAAUACCGCAUACGCCCUUCGGGGGAAAGAUUUAUCGGGGAAGGAUCGGCCCGCGUUAGAUUAGAUAGUUGGUGGGUAACGGCCUACCAAGUCUACGAUCUAUAGCUGGUUUUAGAGGAUGAUCAGCAACACUGGGACUGAGACACGGCCCAGACUCCUACGGGAGGCAGCAGUGGGGAAUCUUAGACAAUGGGCGCAAGCCUGAUCUAGCCAUGCCGCGUGUGUGAUGAAGGUCUUAGGAUCGUAAAGCACUUUCGCCAGGGAUGAUAAUGACAGUACCUGGUAAAGAAACCCCGGCUAACUCCGUG